UAAAUAGCAACUAAUGAUAUCAGAGCGAGUAAAGUUCUAUCAUCUAAACCAGAGUAAAAGAAACAUAACUAGACAAUGAAAGUAACGCAUAAGUGAUACAAUGCUAUAUCCUCAAAAGGAAUACAAAGAUCCAAAAGAAGGGUGGUCUCUAUACAUAUACGGGUACAACUCUCAACCUCUCACAAAAUAAAACAACGAGAGGUAGACCACCUAUCGACUCGUCCUCGAAGGAAGCUAGCUCGAAGCAACCCCCUUCCCGCGGUCCCUAGCCUCUCCCGGCGUGGAAGGCUCUGAAAGAAAACAUAAAACAUAGGGCGUGAGAACUAUAAUUUAUAGUUCCCAGUGGGCAAUUACUGACCUCAGCUCAAUGCACCACUAAGCCCAAAAAGGAAGGGGUAAGUAACGACAAUAAUAGGCAAUGAGUAAAUUUCAUUUACGAAAGCAUAAUUAAAAGCUACACUAAUGCAUUGCAAUUAAACAUGGCAUUUAUAUAAUGCACCUUUACCUCGUCAUGAAUACUAUGCCUCUACAUGACCACAUGGGAUAUCAUGAGAUACUUUAUGAAGCUAAGAAAGUAAUACUUUUCAUGACUACAGUGCAUAUAAAAGGCAAUAAACAACAUCUCCUAGCAUACUAUAUGCAUGUAUGAAUACCCAAAUGUCCACAUCUAUGCUAGAAGCAAGCCCAAGUAAUCCAACUACUACUCUCUAUCUAGGGGUUAUCACACACUCAACAUUGUGUCGGUUUCCAAUUCCAAGUAGGGACCUACCCAAGGUAGUCCAGCUUGUGCCGCCUAAGUGCCUGUGGUAGCCCAACAUCCCUACUCUUGGAAUGUAUCUGUCCCACUCGACCCCGUAGGCUUCUCAAUACCGCACGAGCGAACAUAGUCGCGUAGGCUAACUCCGGAGUGCCGGCUUGUAGGGAGCGACCCUCACAAGCAUGUGCGAAUGAGCACAAAUGGCAAGCAAGCAUAGUCCAAGUCUCAACUGUCCAAUCCUCAUGUCUCAAGCAUUGUAGUAGCUACUAGUAACCCAACGAUCUAGCUCUAUGUCACAAAGUGAUAUCACAACACUCACUUGCUUAGUGCCUCUUUAUGACACUUAAGCAUCAUAACUAAUCAUGCCCAAUUCAUGUUCCAUAUUUCAAUUAAGACGAUAAUAGCAAGGUUCACUUUAGCCCGGGCCUAAUGCCUCUUUAUGACAUUUGCCCAAUCUCUCAAAUAGUCUAAGUCCUUAAGCCUCUCUAGGCUUCCAAAAAUCCCUAAUGUCACAAUUGGCCUAUAAGCUAAACGCAUAAAAGCAAGGUUCAUUUUCAUAAUAGGGAUCUUAGUUUCAAUCUCAACCAGCAUGCUAUCUCACACAUGCAUGCUCUCUACUACAUAGAGGUCCAAAAUUUUACUAUAUGUAACAUGGACAUUUUAAGCAUUCAAAAAAUCACAAUAAAUACAUAUAACAAGAAUAUGCAUGCUUUUUCAUUUUACGACAUUUAAAACAUCAACAAUGGGAUUUUCCCAUUGUGUGUGUCACGCCCCGCGACCCGCCAAUUUUGCCAGAUCCGGGCGCGUCGAACAGACUCCGGACGAACAGCACCUCCCCUGUCCGCCCAAGGCUAACAACGAGAUUGUGUACAACAAGUUCCCAGGAAAAAUAACUUGAAUACAUACACAAUCGAUAACUACAACGAGAGCACAAUCAGUGCAAAACAACCAAGAGCAAUAUACAAGUAAUGAUAAAGAGAGGAACAUCUAUCUAUUACAUUCAUUCAACCUUUAUAAUACAAUUUGAUUAUACAUUAAGCUUCUAAACAUAAUAUAAAGCUUACAUCUUCCAAAAUAUAAACAUCAGCUUACAUUCAUUCCAGAAUAUCUCACAUUAGCUCUUGGAGCCGCUCGAUCUGACUUCCUUGGCGUUGAAUCACGCCGAUAAGCGUAGUCAUCUGCGCUCGUAAUUCUUGCACUUCACUUGACCCAGCUCGCUCAGGCACCUCGGGAGGCGGUGCCGGAACGGUUCUACGCGCGUAGUGUCUCCUUGGUGCCAUUAGCUCCUGACACACAACGACUCGAUUAAUUACCUUAACCUGCUAACCUCGUCGCAACUAUUAGACGACGCGACUCAAUCGGGCGAAAGUCAUACAAGGGUGCCUAUUCUCACCACUCAGUUUCAUGUUGUAUGCAUCCAACAUGAACACCCUCAGGUGAGAAUAAACAAAACCUUGAGUCCACCUCUAACAUCCGUCUUAGAGGUUUACCAACUCGACCCAAUCGAUCCAACUUUCGCCAUCGUAUAGGUCCACGUCACUCACGCACCUAUAACCUUAGGGUUCACCAUCCUAGGGUCUCCUAGGUCCAUCCUAAACUCUCUCUUUACUUGCUCUUAAUUGCUCUGAUACCACUUUAUCUGUCACGCCCCGCGACCCGCCAAUUUGGCCAGAUCCGGGCGCGUCGAACAGACGCCGGACGGACAGCACCUCCCCUGUCCGCCCAAGGCUAACAACGAGAUUGUGUACAACAAGUUCCCAGGAAAAAUAAACUUGAAUACAUACCAAUCGAUACUGACACGAAGCACCAGAAUCAGUGAAAAACAAACCAAGAGGCAAGAUACAACUAUAUGAACAUACAAGUAAUGAUAAAGAGAGAACAUCUAUCUAUUACAUUUCAUUGCAGCCUAUUAUAAUGACAAGUUUGAUAUAUACAUUAAUUCUUCAAAAACAAUAAUAUAUAACGCUGUACAUCUUUGCCAAAAUAUAAACUUAGCUUACAUUCAUAUCGAGAAUAUCUACAUCAUAUACCAUCAAUCUACUCUCAUGCAAUAAAGGUGACUCUAAUGAGAAUAUGGAAAGUAAUACUAAUUGCAUACUAGGCGCUAGGCUCCUUUACCGUGAUUCUUGCCAGUGUGAACUCGCGCUCGGCCUAUAGUAAAAUGGGGGUGAGAACUAACUUCCUUAGUUCCAGUGGUUCGGCCGCCGACUCCGCCGAUCCGCCCACUAGGUCCAAGCGGGCAAAAGUAGAUAAUCGAUAGAUAGAUAGAGUAAGGAAGCGGUAAAUGACAGAAGUAAAGCUCACUACUAUGUGCCAAUCUAAUAUAUAUGAAUGCAUGUACAAUGAAAUAGGUAAGCAACCUCACACUGUCAUCACCCAAAGGUAAAGCUAUUCACUCGUUCGUUUUCCUCAUUUACCUUGUUCUUAAAUCUCGUGGCUUCCCUGAAGGAGCCUCCUGCUCACUAGCCAUUCUCGAAGAUAGGGAGGGUCAACUCGCACUACGAACUGGGAGACCGUCUGUGUGACCAAAAUAGGUAAUCCUUGGGGACCGGCAAUAGGCGAUCCACAGUGACGACACCCGGAGCGCACUACUUGUGUGGGCUUCCAUCACAAGAUUUAAACAGACGCGUGAGCAUGAUCCAAUCCUCUAAGUCUCGAGGAGUACCCUGUCCUCUAAGGGCUCACCAUGCAUCAUAUAGUCCAUAAUUCAUAAUACACUACGAUCACAUAUGUCACUUGUUCUUUUGUUUACUAUCAACUAGAUGCCACUCGUUCUUUACAAGUUUCCAAUGCAAUAGCCAAUACAUUACUAAAUUCCCAUCCACACUUAUCAUCUCAUUAUAGGGUUCCACAUCACAUAUAUAAACCUCAAGCAUGCUAGAUAUAAGUACUAAGCCAAAUACAUUGUUCUACCAAAGAACAUGCAAGGUAUAGGACCAAACCAUCAUUUAUCACCCUAUAAUGCAAGAUGUCAAUAUGUCAAUAUGCAAUUUGAUCAAUAUAAAACUUAGACAUAGAAGGGAGUCCGGUUGCUUCGGGAUGGACACCACCCACCUUUUUAUCGCGUUCCGAUUGCUCGUCGUCACUCGCAAUCGGCCUCCCGCGGCGCACGCUGCACGGCUCGACCCCACUCACAUGCGACCGUCAAAUGACCACCGAUUUGCGAUCCGUAAAUUAAAGGCCUUCGGUUUCUUGUCACGAUGCUUCAAAUCCGUUUCCAGGAUUUUACGACGUCGCCUCGGCCCUCCAGGCGGAAACGAAGCCUAAACGUCCGUUUCUUUAAUAACUUUGCACCGGCUCGACGAAUCGCCGAACCGUCGCUUCCAACACGUUCAGUGACCUAUCAAUUUGGUUUACGGAGGGUCAAAUGAGAUCAAACCCUUAUAUUUCCAAAAAUUACAUUUUUGAGCCUUAAGAUACACUAUUGCAAGAAUUCAUCAUAUGAUCCCUUAAUUCAUACAAUAGUCAUCCAUUUAGCAUCUAAGGAUUCCUCUAAAUCAAUUCUUAGAGCAUAUAAUUAAAGCUCUAAAGAUCUAUCAUUAUAAACCUAGCCUCUACACAUGCUCCAAUUAAUCCAAAUUAAAUGGAUUUAACAUACUAAUCAACACAUUAGAGGCUAUUGGAACACUAAGCAUUAAGGAUUAAACCAAAUCCUAGCUUAAAUUAUGAGAUCUCACCUUAGACCACCAUUCACAUCAAGCUAAAUCCACUAUUGGAAAGCUUGCUUCCACCAUUAGAGAGAGCUUCAACUUAAAGCUACUCUAAUCUUCUCCAAGCUUGCUUCAAUUUUUUUCUUUCUUUUCUUCUCCAAUCCUCUCUUUGGUGUAGAGAGAGAUUUUUUCUCUUUGCUUGUGAGUGUGAAUAAUGAGAGGAAAGAAAGCCCAAGUCCUAUAUAUACAUAGAGUGGAAACUUGCUCUCCAAGUUUCCUAUGAAACUUGCUCUCCAAGUUUCCUAUGAAGCUUCCAAAAACACUAUUCACUCCAGGGGACUUAAAACUGACAUUUUUUUUUUGCCGGAGCCCUUCUGAACAUCCGUUUGAGCUCAAAUUUGGCAGGCAGGCUCGAUUUUUCUUAAUAAGUCCGAAGAAAUUUUAAUCUUUCAGUUUCGACCACGUUUGGUCAUCGAAAAUUGUGCCGAACUGUAAUCUUAAUCAGAUAACUUUCGGAUUUUAUUUCUCACUCUACGGGUGUCAGAAUGACAUGAAACUUUAUAUCUAGCCUCAUAAAUAUAUUUCUGACAUAUCCUCCAAUUUUUAUAAUUUUCUGAGACUGUGCAUUUUCUGCUAAUUUUUCUAUCCCGUUUCCAACAGAAAAUUCUAGAUCUUCUGUUUUCAUCCCGAUUUCAGCACAAGUCACUUCUGACUUAUAUUUUACUUCUCUAAAUCCAAUAAAAAUAGUAUCUCACACUAUUUUUAUUUAUUUUUACUUUUAUAUUAAAGAUCCGACAUGUUACAUUCCACCGCAGCCUCACCGGAACCAUUUAAAUGGCUUUCCAAUCGAACGUACACCGUAACCUCAUGAUUUUCGAAGUCUGGUACCUUACAGUGUGGCUAGGUCAAACCCACCGAACCGUCGCGUAGUGUCUCGUUUCGCCGAACGGAGUUGUCCACGAGUCUCCAAAUACCCUAAAAGUAUUGAGCGAAGAGAUACACGGGCAUUACGAUCAACUAUAAGAUCAAACAUUAAUCUAGAAGCAAAAAGGCCAAAACUCACCUCAAAAGAAGAAAUCUCUUCCAAAACUCCAAAAGAGUGCUAGAACCCUUCCAAUCCAACCAAAUGGAAGAAUCUAAUUCAAUCAAUCUAGCUCCAAAAGCCCUAGAUUCAAAACGCCCAAAAUAAACCCUAAGUUCACAUUCUAAGGUUUCAUAAGGUAAAACCUACCAAAACAAGGAUCAAAGGUUAGAAUCAUAAUACUAACCUCCCAAGAUGCCUCCAAACAAGCUCCAAAUCUUCUAGGGUCAAAGAUUGGCCCACCACCAAGCUCUACAAGCAAGCUCCAAGCCAAGCAAGGGUGGAAGGAGAGAAAGGGGUUGAGCUCCAAGCUCCCUCAAGCAAGCUCCUCUUCUUCUCCUCCUCCUUCUCCUUCUUCUCUCUCUAGAAGGUGUAGGGAGAUGGUGAGAAAUGAGGAGGGAAGAGAGUGAAAUGGCCGUAUAGACCAUUUAGAGCAACAAAAUCCAGAGAGGCCCCUCAAAAACUCAAAUUUACAACAGCCCGGUCUGGGCAGUUUUCGCCCAGAGGGACCGGUCUCUCCCUGCAAGGGACCGGUCUCUCGUGUCGAACCCGAGAAACCAUUGUUCGGGAACCGGUCUCUCCCCGCGCAGGACCGGUUGCCUUGCCGGCUGCGCACACUGCUCACUGGGGGACCGGUCUCUCCUUCCAGGGACUGGCCCCCGAGAGUGAAAACUCUCAGGACUUGUCCAGAGUUCCAGUUUUCGAACUUUUUAGGUCGAAAAAUAUUCUACAACCCUCCACCAAGUGUGGAAAAGCUAGAACCACAUCCAAUCACUUGAACCUCGCAAUUUGCAAAGGUCCAGUGUGUCACACUUGUGUAGGCCCUAAAACAAAACUGAACAAUGAUAUCAAUCCGUAAUGAUAAUCACUACUAGAUAGGGUGUAGUAGUUGGAUUACCUUGACAUGCUUCAUGCAUAGCUUCGGACAUUUAAGACCUGUAGUAUACUUGGUAAUAACGCUCAUUGCAUUAUAGUAUACUUGUUUGGCACGUGGGAUCAUACUAGUUAUGUAUUGGACAUACUUGAUCAUGGUAGAAUGAAUGUACAACAUAUUGUCAUCAUGUUAUUUAUGGCAUAGUAGUUUAGCAUUUAUACAUGCUUUCAUAUCUGCAGCUUAUUUCUAUUGCUUUUCGUAUCUAUUUUAUUCUUUUGGGCCUAGCAGUGCAUUGUGCUGAGGUCAGUAAUUGCCUACUGGGAACUAUAAAUUAUAGUUCUCGCGCUCCCUAUUUUUUGUUUCCUUUUAGAGCCUUCCACACCGGGUGAGGCUAGGGACCACGGAAAGGGUAUCGCCUCGAGCUAGCUUGUUGGCGAGGGACUUAUCGAUAGGUGGUCUAUCUCUCAUUGGUUUUAUUUUGGAGAGGUUGAGAGUUGUACCUGUGUAUAGAGACUACCCCUUUUUGUAUCUUGAGACAGUUGAUGUAUUUACCUUAUGUUUUAAAUUAGUGGAUUAGUUUCCUUUCCCUCUACUUGUUGUUAGUAUUUAGCUGAUGGUUGCUCUGAUAUCUCUAGUUGUCUUACUUCUGCUUGCUUUUAUAUCUCUAUUGUUGUAGACGCCUUAUAUGUGCAGGCAUAUGGCAGGUCUGGGCACGCACUGGGCGGGUCUACGCCGGGUCCCGGGUCGUGACAGAAUGUCUAACAAUAAAGAAUGGCAAUAAUAGAGAGUAAAAUCUUUUAAUCUACUUGCAUAGUUGCAUGAAUUUCAUAUUGCAUAUUGUGAGGCACAUUCAUAUAUUUUAAUGUUGCAUAAAAUACUUGUGGAUAUCUGUUAAGUCUUGUAUGUUGGCAAGUUUCGUGGAUUGAGUCGGAGUCUUGAAGGUUUCGGAGCACAUCGUCGAAAGAAUGAAGAAUCCAAGACUUCGGAGAAGGCGGAGAUAACUCACGACAUGAAUCACGAUGCUCAGGUAAAAUCUUUACUUCAUGUUAUGGUGAUUCAUACUUAGUUAUAGGCAUUAGAAUCAUUGUUAUCCAUAUUUAAUUGAUUAGAAAGUGCUUCGGAACUCUGCGGAACCCGAAACAGUGCUAAGUCUAAAAAAUGCACUGUGUACCGCUACAGCAAUUGACCCGUACCGGUACAGCCAUCGACUUUAGCUUUCAAAUUUUUGUUCCAUCAUUGUGUAACCGGUGACAGCCUCACGUGUACCGAUACACUGUGUAAAAUUGUGAAAACUUUCUAAUCCGACUCCGAUUGAUUCUAAAGUCUAUAAAUAAGCUAUUAGGGUUCUUUAACUGAGCAAGCAUCACAAAAAUACAUGUUUGAGAAACCCUAGAUGCUUGGAUUUCAUCUAAAACCUAUUUUCUACAUUUUAGCCUCUUUAAGGUCAAAUCGAGAUAUUGAAAUUUCAUAUCUAUAUGUCGAUUUGAUCUUCGCUUCGCUUGGAGUUCUCUUUCCUGGUUUUCAUCGAUACUCUAAGCGAAGGAUCACCAUACACAUGAUGUUCUUCAUGACACAUGAUGUUCUGCAUGACGGCGUCGUGGAUUCGGCGUGAUUGACGGCGGUUCGUGGUUUCGGAUCGAGAGCUUCGUGGAUUCAGAGUGGAGGCGUUUCGUGGAUUCGGAACGAGGCGUUCGUGGAUUCGAACAUGUGGGCGUGGACAACCCGGAGGAUUGCGCGAGAUUCAUAGGAGGUUAAGAGAUGUUGAGUACGUGGAGUCGGUAAUCACCUUGUAAUCUUUUCUCUUAGUGAAUUAUUUUUUCGCGUGUUGGUCCCGUGCGGUUUUUCUCCAAGUUGGAGUUUUCCCACGUAAAUCUCGGUGUGAUUUUUAUUUUCCGCAUUUAUUUUUAUCGCAUUGAAAUUUGUGGGUUUUGGCUAUUACACCUAUUCACCCCCCUCUAGGUGUUAGAUACAAUCUAGAUAGAUCCUUGGGCUCCUCAAAACUUUCAAUUGGUAUCAGAGCGGGAUCUAGAUAAAUUGUUAUCUAAUGGCCGAAGGUGGAAACAUUAAUCGACCACCGCUCUUCGAUGGCACAAACUAUGCCUAUUGGAAAGUUCGCAUGAGAGCUUUUCUAAUCGCAAUCGAUGAGCGCGUUUGGCAAAUAAUAGAAUUUUGAUGGAAACAUCCUAUUGAAAAGGUCGAGAAUGUUGAAACGCCAAAACCACGAAACAAGUGGACAAAAGAUGAAAACGGGGCAUCUUCGUUUAACGGCAAGGGCAUAAAUGCUUUAUUUAAUGCAUUGUCUCAAACGAAGUUUAUUCGUGUUUUAGCGUGUGGAACCGCCAAAGAAAUUUAGGAUACUCUAUAAGUUACGCAUGAAGGAACGAGCUUAGUAAAGGUUCAAAAAUUGCAAUUGUUAACAAGUAAAUUUGAGUCAAUUUUUAUGGACGAAAAUGAGACCUUUACCGAGUACUAUACGCGUCCACAAGACGUUGUGAAUACAUGCGCUAACUUUGGAGAGAAAAUUCCGAAUUCAAAGGUUGUUAGAAAGAUUCUUCGAACUCUUCCGGAAUGCUUUCGGGUAAAGGUUGCCGCGAUCGAAACCGUUAAGCAUCCGGACGAGAUGAAAGUCGAAGAAUUAGUAGGCGCUUUACAAACGUAUGAGAUGGACUUUCCUACUAACCCAUCUUCUUCCAAGUCUUUUUCUAAAAGCACAGGGGUUGCACUCAAAUCAACAAAGAAAGAAGAAGACGACUCAGAUUCCGCUGGAGAUAUUUCGCUCGCCGAUUUUGAACAUCAACUUGCACUCCUCACGAAGAAGUUCCGACGGAAUUUCCAAAAGAAGAACAAUUCGGACAAGGCUUCAUCUUCGAAGCAUAAAUCUUUUUCUAAACAAUCUUCAAGUUCUACAUCUAAGGAUAAAAAACUUGCAAAGUCUUCGAAAGAAAAAGAUGAAUUUGAAGGCGAAAUUCAAUACUACAAAUGCAAAGGCUACGGCCAUAUUGCAACGGAUUGUCCUUCAAAGAAGACUUAUAAGCAAAAGGCUCUGCAAGCUAAGAUUUGAGAUGAUUCUUCUUCUAGUGAAUCAUCUUCAACGGCCAUGUUGCUUUAUUUACUAACACUUCUUUAUCUUCGUCUAACAUUGUUUGUUUAUCCUCACUUGUUUCUAAUUCCAAUGUUUCUCUCUCUUCGCAUGGGUCUUCGAGCAACAAUGGCGAAAGCGAGGAGAAAUCAAACGACGAGGAUAUAGCGGAAGCAUACAACCAACUUCUUAUUAAUUCGAAAAAGAUGACCAAGCUCAAUAAGAAGUUGAGGCGAUGAUUAUUGGACAUUGAAGAGGAAAACAAAAAUUUGAAGACCAUGAAUAAAGCUCUUGAGGAGGAAAGGGAAGCAAUAUUGAAAAAUAAUUCGAUCCUCCAAAAGAAGCUAGAGGAAGAGGAAUUAACGGUCAAAUCAUCUAAAGACAAGAUUGGAUUUUUGGAGCAUCAAUUUUAGGAAAUUCAUGCAUCCAAUCAAGUCUUAACUAGUCAAGUUUGUCAACUCAAAUCCAAUCUUCAAAAAUUUUCUUCUGGAUCAAAGAAACUAGAUCUGUCACGCCCCAAUCCCCGCCAAUUUGGUCGGGUUCGGGUCACGUCAACAGACGCCAAACGGACAGAGCCUCCCCUGUCCGCCCAAGGCUCUAACAACAUGUAUAAAUAGACAAUCAACAAGAGAAUUGCAUAUAUAAUACAAGGCUUCCACGAGGGCAAGCAACAACGGAAGCGAAAGCUCUAAGCUAAAUAUACAUCACACAUGAUAUUUGAUUUCAUUUAAACCAAAUUCAAGUAAACAAAGCUAUUACAUUCCAUUCAACCAUCAUAUCUUUUACAUUUAGUCAUCCACCAAAUACAUGAUUGUUUACACUUUUCAUUCCUAAAUCAACAAAAUAAAGUUGAUACAUGUAUAACAAAAGGGAAUGACUACAAAAUGUAUAAAGUCCCGGUAGCCGCUACCUACGGCGCUAAACCCUUGCCUCGGUCCUCCGCCGCCCCGCUCGUGCUAGGACCUGUAGGGUUAGUGGUGUGAGAACUAAACAAAGUUCCCAGUGGGCUCGGCAACCGACCUCGCCGACUUACCCACUAGGUCCAUCCAGGCAUAAGUAUUUCAAAGGAGAAAAAGUAACCACUACUAAUGCAACUAAUACUAUGCCUGCAAGAAAGAAGUCAGUAGAUAUAUAAUUUCAAUGCGAUAAUGGAAAUGCAUGCAUGCUCCAAUCAUAAUCAAACUUUGGCUCUUACCCAAUCUUACCGGUUAACUCUGUUAACCCCAAUAACUCACAACCUAAAAUCCCUUAAUAACGGGGGACUCGAACCUCCCUAGGGACCGUCAACUGGUGGGACUUUACCACGCCCAGUGGUGACCAACUCCGGAGCGCACCGCUCGAGGGGGAGCGACCUCCCUCAAGCCAAGACGAAAUGUGAGUAUCGAUCUAAUCCUCAACUUGAGGACUCAUAGCCACUAGUCACAAUGCCAAUGUCACGAUAGGUCUCUACCUAUUCAUUCUUGCCACUCUCAAGGCUUUACCUUUGACGAUGUCAAAAUGGGUUAAACUAUAUUUAACGGUUCAUCUCUCAAUGCAAAUCUUGUUUCUAUGUCAAUGUCACCCUUGUUUUCUAUUGUCCAAGUCCAUUCUCACAUUCACACAACUUGAGGGUCCAAUCACACAUGUCCAUUUUGGUUCUAUCAUUCUCUAUGUUCAACUACGUUAGAAGCAUAUAAAUGAAGUCAAACCAAGUUCCACAUGUAACUACCCUACUAUGCAUGAAUGGGUAUUUAUAAAACAUAUAUGCUCAAGAAUAGAGAAAACAGACAUAGAAGGGAAUCCAACGAUUCCGGCGUGCACCCCCCACCUCUAUUGGUCGUGUGGGUGUAGAAUAUGAAGGCUCCCGCACUUUACGAAAGCCGAUUCCGCGCCCUAUAAUCAAAAUAGUGCCAUAUUAGGCCUUUUUGUACAUGAACUAUACUCUAUCAUUUUCGCAAUGUUAAACGAAGUUGUCCCACGCGUUUAGGACACCCCCAAUUAGGUUUCUACGGGGUCAAUUUGUCCCCGAAAAAUCCUAGGGCAAAAGCCCCAAAUCCAAUCCCUAAUAUUGUCAUUUAGGGUUUUCUCAUAAAUCGAUCCCAACCUUAAGCAAACAAUAGCUUAGGAUCAUCUAAGAAGCACUCUAGUAAGAUUUCUAGACCUUUGGUACCAACCCUAGGGCUCCAAACACCACUUCCAAGGAUUCACCAUGAGAGCACUUUAAGCUCUCAUGGGAACCAUGGUGUACAUGGCUCAAAAGAGCCUUUAAAGCCUCUAGGGAGCACAAAGCUCCCAUCUUCUAAGCCAAAAUCCAAACCCUAGGCUCAUUUCUACCAAAAACUCACCUUAGCCCUAGCUCCUCCAAGUCCUUCUUGUAGGAGAGCUUGUAGAACCCUCCGAAGCCUCCAAAUCCUUCUCCUCUUCACUUCUUCUUCUUCUUCUCCAAGCCCUAGAGCAAGAGUUCUAGAGAGAGAAAGAGAGGGAAUGGGAGAGAAGGGUGAAAAUGGCUGUGGGAGAGAGGGGUUGAGUCAUAUAUAGUGUUGUAACAAUUGCACUUAAGCCCCUCCACUUGUUUUCUCUUGAACUGCCCAGACUGGGCAUUUUUCACCUUUUGGGACCGAUCUCCCCGACCAGGGACCAGUUCCCAAACGGGGGUUUUCCAGGACUUAGCCAAAUUUUCGAGUUUUUUAUCUGUUGCGCAACGAGGGACCGGUCUGCCCGUCAGGGACCAGUCUCCCGAGGACCGGUCUCACCACCAGGGACCGGAUGCCUCAGGAUUUCCUGGCAGGCUACGCGCACGGGGACCGGUCUCACCACCAGGGACCGGAUGCCUCAGGAUUUCCUGGCAGGCUACGCGCACGGGGACCGGUCUCUCCUUCAAGGACCGGUCCCCGAGAGCUCAAAAUCUGGGACUUAGCCAGAUUUCCAAAUUUGCUCUCCGGGUCCCUUUUUGCUCCGUUUAUGAACUCCAAUGCACUUUGGGUCCACUUUAACUCGUUCAAUUUCGCGUUCCGCUCGUGUUGACGGAACUCGAUACGAUUUACGAGGGAUGUGGUAUGUUACAAGAUCAUAUGCUCGAAUUGGGUAAAACAAACAAGUUGGGUCUCGGUUAUAAAAGGACAUAUGCUCAAGUCUUAACUGGUCAAGUUUGUCAACUCAAAUCCAAUCUUCAAAAAUUUUCUUCUGGAUCAAAGAAACUAGAUCAUAUGCUCGGAUUGGGUAAAACAAACAAGUUGGGUCUCGGUUAUAAAAGGACAUAUGUUGAGAAGGAUCAAACGGCGACUUCUAAAGUCUCAACAACUUUAAAGGACAAAGUGUGUCAUAGGUGUGGAAUUAAAGGUCACAUCAAAAGGAAUUGCCCGGUGAAAGAUAAGAAGAAUCAUUCGGCAACUCCUAAAGCUCAAUCGGCACCAUCUACGACUCGACAUCCCCAAUGGAAUCAAAAGAAAGAUCAAUUGAAUCAAGCAUCGCAAGCAAACCGGAUUUCUCAGCCACAACGCCAAGGUCAACCUAAAUCGCAAGCUAUAAGGGUUCUUAAGCCUCAAGCAACGAAACGACCAACGGUUGAUCAAAAAUCAAAGCGAACAGCACCUAACGUCGACAAGACAAGACAAUGCAAAAUCCGACAAGUUUGGAUUCGGAAAGGUGAUAUCUUUCCUUGUUAUACGUCUUAGUUCGUUUUUGUUUUUUUAUGUAAAUGCUUUGAUUGGUGCUUGUUGCAUAUUUUUAUUUAUUGCAUAUAUUUAGACAAUUUUUGGUGCUUGAAUUUUAUUUGUUUUUGAGGAAAGGUAUUUGGGAAUUUAAAUUUUUCUUUGAGGAAGGAGACGAUUGAGAAUCUUUAUUUUGGGGAGAUUAGAAUUUUUCAAAGUGUUUUAACCAGAAUUCAUCUGGAAUUAAAUUCAUAUUAAUUAUCGAUUUUACUCCACUGUUUAUUAUUUUGACGAUAAUUUAAUAUAUGAUUUCUUGAUACAUAUAUUCAUAAAAAUUUUAAAAUCAAAUUUGAUCUCUUGUUGAUGAAUCUAUCUCGGUUGUAAGUGUUGAAUAUGAUGGAUAGAUAUUCACUAAUCGACUAAAAUUUUGUUAAAAUUACUUUCAAUUGUGAGAUUGUCUAAUUAAGGGAGAGUUUUGAUGUAUUUAAUAAAAAAAGGAAAGAUACUCCUAUGUUUAAAAAAUGUGGAAAGAGUUACAUCUCAAAAGGAGUAUGAAAACUACCACCACAUGUAGGAAAGAGCUACCACCUCGGUCGUCCGGCAAGUGUGUGAAGCUACCAUAUGAAGAUUGAAUUGAUUAACCGAAAAGGUUGGAAAAAAUUGAAUAUUUUAGAAUUUUCGGAGUUAUAAGGUGUUAGUCUGAAAAAGAUGCUCAAAGAGCCACCCCCGGUAUCAUAUUAGUUAAAUCUCUAUUUUGAACGGAUUGUGACAAAUUGGCGUCAAUUUUGCCGAAUUUCUAAAAAUCAUUUUUCGUGAACCAUUACAUUUUGAUGAUUUUGAAACUCGAGGUCAUUUUUUAUAAUGAAAUUUUGGUGUUUUCGAUGAAUCUUGAAAUCUUAUAAUAUCUUGUCUUCAUUAUAAUGAUUUUUGGAGUAAAAUUCUUAAUUUAUAUAAAAUUAAUUUAAGUUAGAUGGUUUUUUAAAGCAAAUUUUUUAAAAUCUGGGGCUGUGUACCAGUACACAAGCCCGUGUACCGGUACGGUUACUAUAGCAGCGGCUUAUAUAACCGGUUAUAGGGUCUUAUUUCUUCCACAAUUCAAAACCAAAUCUCCUUCACUCUGUUUCUACGACUCCUUGGGAUCCUCCUCCUCUAGAUCCACGAAGUUCCCCCUUAAAUUUGUAAGUCUUUUGUUGGGAUUUCAAGACUUCAUCUCGUUUUUGCAUUUUUUUUUGAAAAAUUCCGAGUUCAUAUUAGAUCUAUGUUUUUAAUCGUUUUUUAUGCAAUUUUUUUGCUGUAGAUUAGUGUUUAUGGAUAUUAUCUUGCUUCUAAGUCACUUCGAUCAUGUCAAAACGUAUUAAUUUUUGCUGAUUUGUGAUCUAGAUUUCGCUAUGCUUGGAAUUUCAGGAUUUAUUUUGAAAUAUCACUUUUUGAUGAAAUUUUUUUUUUCUCUAUUUUUACAAAUUUUUUCGAAAAAUUGUGUUCAUAUAUGCUCUUAUUGUGUAGGAAAAUGGCGUUUUUUCUCGUGUUGACAUUGUUGGUGCUUAUGGCCGCUGGGAGCGGUCGUGGGCAUGGCAGGGGUCGUCGAGGGGCCUCUAAAAGGACACGUACUACUGCUGAGGCAUCUGGUUCUGAUCCAGAUUAUCAAGCUAGUUCUCCCGAGGAAGCGGAAGAACCUGUUGCUCGUCCUGACAAAGGAAAGGGCAUAGCUGGAGAGUCCUCACGAGGUGGUUCUCGUGCUCGUGAGGGUCGUUCAAAACAGGCCGCGGAUAUUCCCCCAGAGCGGCGGAGGAUGUUCAUGAGCAAGUCAUGUAUUGCAGAGCGUUAUGCCAACUUCAAUGACCUUAUACAUGACGUUCUUGACUUCGGGCGGCUACUUCAGCGAGUUCCUAUUGAGUCAGUUCGUCGGUUUCCUGCUCGCGCUCCAUUUUGUAUGGAACUCAUUCGUGAUUUCUACAUGAACGGGAAGGUACUUACAGAGGAUGAGGAGACCGGGACUUUUCUAUUUGAGACUUUCGUGCGUCAACAGAAGGUCCUCAUUACCCCACAUACUAUUGGAGAGCUUUUGGGGAUGAACGUGGACACUACUGGUCUUCUCUAUACAUCAGGGGGAUUUCAAUCUUCAUCCCACUGGGAUAUAGUUAUAGAAGCUAUCUGCAAGGCUGGAGUUCAAACUAAUCGUGCUUAUGUGGAGUCCAAGGACUUGCGACCUGAGUAUCAUCUACUGUCCUUGGUUUUGAGCUACAAUGUGCAACCAACGAUUGGAACAAAAAGGAUUCGUUGGGAUCGUUUGGUUCUGCUACAUCUACUUGGUCACCCGGAGCAAGCACAUGGUUUGAACGUCAACAUCCCUUUUCUGAUGUGGCAGCGGAUGGUUCAUAUCAUUCAGGCUUCUGCCCGACGGGAUCUACUUCUAUUUCCUCUAUUGAUCACGAGGAUUCUACAGGAGAACGGAGUAGAUGUUUCUUGCGAGAAGUAUGAUUUCGGUCUUGGUCCAAUCGAUGCUGUUACGUGGGCCAAGUCGGUUAGCACGCUAAAGACUUUUCAGCAAAUGAAAGGACCAUCGCGAGCAACUUCUAGCCCGGCACCUCCACCUCGAGCAGAGCGUGAGGGAUUUUCCAGUUCAGGGGGAGUGAUUACUAUAGAAUCACUUCACCAUGAGGUGCGAUCUUUAAAGAAGAAAGUGGCAGAUCUUACUAGGAAGGUGGAAGUGGCCAUGAAGAGGAUGAUGGAAAAAUUGGGAUGUAGGCAUGAUGAUAUAUUUCCUACUCAGCCUACCUACACCGCUUAUACCAGAUUGACAUCGCGACAUCCUCUUAUUCCUCCAUCUAUUGGAGCUUCGGAUGCGGGAGGUUCUGGAGCUGGAGCUGGUGCUGGAGCUGAUGAUGAUGAUGACAAGGAUACGGAGUGAUUCCUUCCUCGAACUUAGUCUGUUUACUUCACUGUGUUUGCUUUGUAGGAUGAUGUUUAGUUUAGCUUGGUUUGUUUAUCUUACCUUAGCAUGUUUUUGUUUUUGUUUUAGGCCUGUAACUAUGACUUGAUGACUCUUUUGCUGCUUAGUGUAUUUCCUAUCUAUAUGCUUUCUUUUGGCAAUUUUUGACAAAAAGGGGGAGAUCAUAAGAAGAACAGGUAUUGAUCAAAUCAGAGGAUGGAGAGGAUGAAUUUAAAGUAAAAUGGGAAGAAGUGAUGAACAAAGGGGGAGAAGGAUCGAGUACAUUGAAUUGAAUGUAAGAUUUCUAUAUCUUUGUGGUUGAUCUGUUUUGCAAGACAUCAAGACUUCAUGACUCCUAGUUGCGUCUAAGUCAUAGAGUCUGUUUUAGGAGUUUAUGAUGUACUUUUGAGUUUCUUCUUGUAUUUGGACUACACGCGAGGAGUUCAAUGUUUUGGUGAUGAUAUUUGAACUUCGUUUUUUCUUUAAGAUGUAAUUUUUGAGUUUUUGUGAGUUUUGUCAUGAAAUUGCCAAAGAGGGAGAUUGUUAAGUCUUGUAUGUUGGCAAGUUUCGUGGAUUGAGUCGGAGUCUUGAAGGUUUCGGAGCAUAUCGUCGAAGAAUGAAGAAUCCAAGACUUCAGAGAAGGUGGAGAUAACUCACGACAUGAAUCACGAUGCUCAGGUAAAGUCUUUACUUCAUGUUAUGGUGAUUCAUACUUAGUUAUAGGCAUUAGAUGUAACAUACCGAAACCUCGGUAAUUAAAUUCGAACCUUGGUCAAAUUGACCAAAGUGCCAGAUUGGUACACUUCGGAGAGGCCGAAGGCGUCAAAUAAUGCAAAAGUGCAUUUCUGGGGACCUUUGAGAGCUUUGGAAAUCAAAAUCUGCAAACUGCAGGUUUUGUGCUCUCAGGGACCGGUCCCUGGUAGGAGAGAUCGAUCCCCGAACGCGUAGGCAGCGAGAUGGCCGAGAAAUCGGCUAAGUCCUGGAAAAUCAGCUCUCGGGAACCGGUCCUUACGAGGAGAGACCGGUACCCCAGAGACCGGUCCCAUCGGGAAAGACCGGUUGCAUCACGCGUAGCCUGCGCAGUCCGCGGGAGGAGCUCUCGGGGACCGGUCCCAGGUCGGGGAGACUGGUCCCUCACUGCGAAAAAUGCCCAAUUUGGGCAGUGCACAGAGAAAGAGUUGAGGGGCCUUGUUGUAAUUGUUACAACACAUUAUAUAACCCACCCCUCUCCCCUUUUCAUAGCACACACACACACUUCUCUCCCUCUCAUUUUCUCUCCUUUCUCUCUCUAGAAAGCAAGCCCUAGAGCUUGGAGAAGGUGGAGAAGAGCUUGGAGAAGUGGAUUUGGUGGCUUUGGUGGUCCUAGAAGCUCUCCAACAAGAAGGCUUUGGUGGAGCUUGGGCGAAGGUAAGUCUUUAAGCAAAAGUGAGUCUAGGAUUUGGGUUUAGACCUUAGAUUUUUGGGUUUUGAUCUCUCUACAAGUGAGGAAACCCUCUAGAGACCUUGAAACCAUGAAAUCCAUGGUUGUCUUGGACCCCUCUCAUGGUGAACUUCUAGGGUUCAUCUUGGAUGCCUUAGAAAUGGCCUAGUUGGCCUUAGGUAAGCUCCUAGAGGUUAAACAUGCUCUCUUUUGCUUGUUUUAGAGAUCAAAACCUAGGGUUUAGCAAUGGGUUUAGUUAGGGCACCAAAUUUGGGGCUUUUGCCCCCGAUUGUUUCUAAGGCGAAUUGACCUUAUAGAAACCUAAUUGGGGGUGUCCUCGGCACGUUGGACAACUCCGUUCGACGUUACGAAAAUGUCUAAGUAUGGUUCAUGUACAAAAGGCCUAAAGUGGCACUAUUUUGGUUGUAGGUUGCGGUAUCGACUUUCGUAAAGUUCGGGAGUCGUCAUAUUCUACGCCCACACGACCACUCGAGGUGGGUGGUGCAUUCCAAGGACCUCGGAAAUUUCUUUAUGUCUAAAGUGUCAUGUUUGAACAUAUAUGUAUAUAUUGAGCAUAUUGCAUAGUAGGGUUAAUUGUAAGCUUUAUUGCAUGAUUGUGAAUUUAUUUUCGUAUGAAAUAUUGGUAAGAAUGUGAGAAUUGUAAACCCUAUUUAUGGAUGACAAGUGGCAAGAAUCUAGAAGGGUUAGUGAACAAAAGUGACACAUGGACAUAGAUCUAGCAAGUGACAUCGAUGAGUCUAGAACACUUAGAAAAAUGAGUGUGACAUUUGGUAUGAGAAUGAGAACAUAGCACUUAGAAAACAAGUAUGGCAUGAGUACAACUCGGUAGUAUAUAUGACACUAGUGAUAGAAAAGAAUGAUUGAGACGUUAUGACAUUUCAACCUUAGAGUUCAAGGUCAUUUGUGCAUGGUCUUCCUUAAAGUUAAGAAAUGGAUUUAACUUGGAAUCCUCAAUGUAGGAUUGAUCGUACUCACCUUUAGUCCUUGCUCGAGGGUGGUAGCUCCCCCUCGGGCGAUGUGCUCCGGAGUCGACAUCACUAGGUCGUAGCGAGUAUCUCCCCAGAGGACGGUCCUAUCGGGUUAUAACAGGUAUCUCCCCGGUUAAAUAGGAUUUUGGGUUGGUGAGGUUGUUGAGGGCGAAACCUACGGGGUUAGCCAAGAGAUUGGGUAAAGAAAUUAUAAUAUUGCAUUCAUCAUGAGCAUUAUAUCGAGCAUCGCAUUUUUAUUGUUCAGGCAUACUAGUUGCAUUUGUUAGUUGAUUACCAUCUUUCUUCUAUUCUAUUAUGCCUGAUUAGACCUAGUGGGAUAGUCGGCGUGGUUAGUUGCCGAACUCACUGGGAACUUUGUUGUAGUUCUCACCCUACUAUUUCCACAGAGCCGGGACCGAGCGAGCCGGCAGACGACCGCGGUAAGGGCAUCGUGCCCUAGGUAGAGACCGCCCGAGAUGUUUCAUUUCAUAGUUGCAUAUCCCUUUUGAUACAUCAUCUUUUAUACUUUGAUGAUUAUAGUUGUUAAAUGAAAGGAUAGGAAUGAUGUAAAAGAAUUCAUUUAAUAUCAAUGUUAUAUUUUGGAAGAUUGGGAUGUAAAAAGAAAUGAUGGAAAAUUGUAAUUAAUUUCCUAAGUGUAGUUAUUUACUUUCACUAUUGGCUAUUGCUUGCCCUCGUGCAAGCCAUUGUGUAUGCUUCCGCUUAUGCAAACUUUAUACUCUAUUAAUACUUGUUGUUGAGCCUUGGGCGGAUAGGGGAGGCUCUGUCCGUUGGGCGUCUGUUCGACGCUCUCGAACCGGCCAAAAGGAUCGGGCUCGGAGCGUGACAUUAGAAUCAUUAUUAUUCAUGUUUAAUUGAUUAGAAAGUGCUUCGAAACUCUGCGGACCCCGAAACAGUGCUAAGUCUGAAAAAUGCACUGUGCACCGGUAUAGCAAUUGACCCGUAUCGGUACAGCCAUCGACUUUGGCUUUGCAGAUUUUUGUUCCGUCGUUGUGUAACCGGUGGCAGCCUUACGUGUACCGGUACACUGUGUAAAAUUGUGAAAACUUUCUAAUCCGACUCCGAUUGAUUCUAAAGUCUAUAAAUAAGUUAUUGGGGUUCUCUAACUGAGCAAGCAUCACGAAAAUACAUAUUUGAGAAACUCUAGAGGCUUGGAUUUCAUCUAAAACCUAUUUUCUACAUUUUAGCCUCUUUAAGGUCAAAUCGAGAUAUUGAAAUUUCUUAUCUAUAUGUCGAUUUGAUCUUCGCUUCGCUUGGAGUUUUCUUCCCUGGUUUUCAUCGAUACUCUAAGCGAAGGAUCACCAUACACAUGAUGUUCUUCAUGACGGCGUCGUGGAUUCGGCGUGAUUGACGGCGGUUCGUGGUUUCGAAUCGAGAGCUUCGUGGAUUCGGAGUGGAGGCAUUUCGUGGAUUCGGAAUGAGGCGUUCGUGGAUUCGAACGUGUGGGCGUGGACAACCCGGAGGAUUGCGCAAGAUUCAUAGGAGGUUAAGAGAGGUUGAGUCCGUGGAGUCAGUAAUCACCUUGUAAUCUUUUCUCUUAGUAAAUUUGUCACGCCCCGGGACCCAGCAUAGGCCCGCCCGGCGCGUGUCCAGACCCGCCAUAUGCCUGCGCAUAUAAGGCGUCUACAACAAAAGAUAUGCGUAAGUAAGAAGAAACAAGUAUCUAGAGAUAUCAGAGCUGCGAACAACUAAAAACUAGCGACAAGUAGAGAAGGAGUAAAGUAGUCCACUAAGCAUAAGCAUAAAAAGGUACAAUAAGAAUCACAAAGAAAUCCACAGUGGGGUGGUCUCUAUACACAGGUAACUCUCCAAAACCUCUCCAAAAUAAAACAACGAGGGCUAGACCACCUAUCAACGCGUCCUCGAUAGCAAGCUAGCUCGAGGCGAUACCCUUUCCGCGGUCCCUAGCCUCGCCCGGAGUGGAAGGCUCUGAAAUAAAACAUAAAACAAAAGGGCGUGAGAACUAUAAUUUAUAGUUCCCAGUGGGCAAUUACUGACCUCAGCUCAAUACACCACUAGGCCCCAAAAGAAAGGGUAAGUACGAUAAGCAACAAUAGUAGUAAUAGACAAUAAUAA
This 20502-nucleotide long non-coding RNA is filed under the name Ananas comosus (pineapple). Its description in RNAcentral is "long non-coding RNA (ACOM_LNC034580)". The record is from RNAcentral. Lineage: Eukaryota; Viridiplantae; Streptophyta; Magnoliopsida; Poales; Bromeliaceae.